UUACUGACACUGAGGAGCGAAAGCGUGGGGAGCGAACAGGAUUAGAUACCCUGGUAGUCCACGCCGUAAACGGUGGGCACUAGUUGUGGGGACCUUCCACGGUCUCUGCGACGCAGCUAACGCAUUAAGUGCCCCGCCUGGGGAGUACGAUCGCAAGAUUAAAACUCAAAGGAAUUGACAGGGCCCCGCACAAGCAGCGGAGCAUGCGGCUUAAUUCGACGCAACGCGAAGAACCUUACCAAGGCUUGACAUAUACAGGAAUAUGGUAGAGAUGUCAUAGCCGCAAGGUCUGUAUACAGGUGGUGCAUGGUUGUCGUCAGCUCGUGUCGUGAGAUGUUGGGUUAAGUCCCGCAACGAGCGCAACCCUCGUUCUGUGUUGCCAGCAUUUAGUUGGGGACUCACAGGAGACUGCCGGGGUUAACUCGGAGGAAGGUGGGGAUGACGUCAAAUCAUCAUGCCCCUUAUGUCUUGGGCUGCACGCAUGCUACAAUGGCUGGUACAAACGGCUGCGAUACCGCAAGGUGGAGCGAAUCCGAUAAAGCCAGUCUCAGUUCGGAUUGGGGUCUGCAACUCGACCCCAUGAAGU
Molecule: ribosomal RNA, 586 nt
Filed under: uncultured bacterium
Lineage: Bacteria
Description: bacterial SSU rRNA
Rfam family: Bacterial small subunit ribosomal RNA
Source: RNAcentral